CCUACGGGAGGCAGCAGUGAGGAAUCUUGCACAAUGGACGAAAGCCUGAACGAGCAACGCCGCGUGCAGGAUGAAGGCCUUCUGGGUGGAAAAUGGUUUUUUAAUCGAGAAAUAUGAUGGUAACUUAUGAAUAAGGAUAGGCUAACUACGUGCCAGAAGCGGCGGGGAUACGUAGGAUACGAGCAUUAUCCGGAGUUACUGUGUGUUAACAGGUUCGUAGGUGGGAUAAUAAGUAGAUAGUGAAAUCAGGUGGAUCAAACAUUCAGACUGUUAGCAAUACUGUUAAGCUAGAGACUGUUGGCGGUAAGUGGAAUGUCUAGUGUAGGAGUGAAAUGCUUAGAGAUUAGACAGAACACCGAUAGCGUAGGCAGGUUAC
This 376-nucleotide ribosomal RNA is filed under the name uncultured bacterium. RNAcentral's name for it is "partial 16S ribosomal RNA". It matches the Rfam family "Bacterial small subunit ribosomal RNA", at positions 338 to 729 of the family's 1533-position model. The record is from RNAcentral.